Molecule: ribosomal RNA, 484 nt
Filed under: uncultured bacterium
Lineage: Bacteria
Description: partial 16S ribosomal RNA
Rfam family: Bacterial small subunit ribosomal RNA
Source: RNAcentral
AUUGAACGCUGGCGGCAGGCCUAACACAUGCAAGUCGAGCGGAUGAAGGGUUCUUGCUCCUGGAUUCAGCGGCGGACGGGUGAGUAAUGCCUAGGAAUCUGCCUGGAAGUGGGGGAUAACGUCCGGAAACGGGCGCUAAUACCGCAUACGUCCUGUGGGAGAAAGUGGGGGAUCUUCGGACCUCACGCUAUCAGAUGAGCCUAGGUCGGAUUAGCUAGUUGGUGGGGUAAAGGCCUACCAAGGCGACGAUCCGUAACUGGCCUGAGAGGAUGAUCAGUCACACUGAGGCUGAGACACGGUCCUGAGACCGAGAGAAGGCACAGGUGGGGAAGAGUGGACGCUGUGGGGAAUACUGAUCCAUGCGUGCCGCGUGGGUGAAGAAGGGCUUCGGGUGGGAUGACGCCUUUAGUGUUGAAGAAGGGCAUUAGGAUGGUACCAGGUUUUUGUGACGGUACCAACAGAAGAAGCACCGGCUAACUUCGUG